Molecule: ribosomal RNA, 433 nt
Filed under: uncultured bacterium
Lineage: Bacteria
Description: bacterial SSU rRNA
Rfam family: Bacterial small subunit ribosomal RNA
Source: RNAcentral
AUUGAACGCUGGCGGCAGGCCUAACACAUGCAAGUCGAGCGGUAGAGAGGUGCUUGCAUCUCUUGAGAGCGGCGGACGGGUGAGUAAUGCCUAGGAAUCUGCCUAGUGGUGGGGGAUAACGUUCGGAAACGGACGCUAAUACCGCAUACGUCCUACGGGAGAAAGCGGGGGAUCUUCGGACCUCGCGCCAUUAGAUGAGCCUAGGUCGGAUUAGCUAGUUGGUGAGGUAAUGGCUCACCAAGGCGACGAUCCGUAACUGGUCUGAGAGGAUGAUCAGUCACACUGGAACUGAGACACGGUCCAGACUCCUACGGGAGGCAGCAGUGGGGGAAUAUUGGACAAUGGGCGAAGACCUGAUCCAGCCAUGCCGCGUGUGUGAAGAAGGUCUUCGGAGUUGUAAAGCACUUUAAGUUGGGUAGGAAGGGUAGUAACC